ACAGUGGACGCGAGCAUCUUUGAUCUUUUGUGGUCAAGUUUUUAAGAGCAUUCGGUGGAUGCCUUGGCACCAGGAGCCGAAGAAGGACGUUGUAGCCUGCGAUAAGCCUCGGGGAGCUGGCAAACGAGCUGUGAUCCGAGGGUGUCCGAAUGGGGAAACCCGGCCGCAGUCAUGUGCGGCUACCCGCGCCUGAAUAUAUAGGGCGUGUGGGGGGAACGUGGGGAAGUGAAACAUCUCAGUACCCACAGGAAGAGAUAUUCCGUGAGUAGUGGCGAGCGAAAGCGGAUGAGGCUAAACCGGGGGUGUGUGAUAGCCGGCGGGCGUUGCACCUUCGGGGUCGUGGGACCCACUGGCCAGUUCUGCCGGACUGGCGGGGAGUGAGAAAGCCUGGGUGUAGUCGAACGGUCUGGGAAGGCCGGGCGUAGUGGGUGAGACCCCCGUAGACGAAACAUCUAGGCCUCCUUGUGGGGAUCCCGAGUAGCACGGGGCCCGUGAAAUCCCGUGUGAAUCUGCCCAGACCACUGGGUAAGCCUAAAUACUCCCUGGUGACCGAUAGCGGACUAGUACCGUGAGGGAAAGGUGAAAAGUACCCCGGGAGGGGAGUGAAAUAGUACCUGAAACCGGAUGCUUACAAUCCGUCGGAGCCUCUCUAAUGGGGGUGACGGCGUGCCUUUUGAAGAAUGAGCCUGCGAGUUAGUGGUGCGUGGCGAGGUUAACCCGGGUGGGGAAGCCGUAGCGAAAGCGAGUCCGAACAGGGCGAUACUUAACCCGGGUGGGGAAGCCGUAGCGAAAGCGAGUCCGAACAGGGCGAUUUUAGUCGCGUGCUCUAGACCCGAAGCGAAGUGAUCUACCCAUGGGCAGGUUGAAGCACGUGUAAGAGCGUGUGGAGGACCGAACCCACUUAGGUUGAAAACUGAGGGGAUGACCUGUGGGUAGGGGUGAAAGGCCAAUCAAACUUCGUGAUAGCUGGUUCUCCCCGAAAUGCAUUUAGGUGCAGCGUCGCGUGUUUCUUGCCGGAGGUAGAGCUACUGGAUGGCCGAUGGGCCCUACAAGGUUACUGACGUCAACCAAACUCCGAAUGCCGGUAAGUGAAGCGUGGCAGUGAGACGGCGGGGGAUAAGCUUCGUCGUCGAGAGGGAAACAGCCCAGACCACCGGCUAAGGCCCCUAAGCGUGUGCUAAGUGGGAAAGGAUGUGGAGUUGCACAGACAACCAGGAGGUUGGCUUAGAAGCAGCCAUCCUUGAAAGAGUGCGUAAUAGCUCACUGGUCAAGUGAUUCUGCGCCGACAAUGUAGCGGGGCUCAAGCACACCGCCGAAGCCGUGGCACCAGCGCAGACCCCAGCACCGACUCGAUCGGUGUUCAGGGGCGUUGGUGGGUAGGGGAGCGUCGUGUGGGAGGCGAAGCGCCGGGGUGACCCAGGCG
This 1423-nucleotide ribosomal RNA is filed under the name Georgenia thermotolerans. Its description in RNAcentral is "partial 23S ribosomal RNA". It matches the Rfam family "Bacterial large subunit ribosomal RNA", at positions 1 to 1273 of the family's 2925-position model. The record is from RNAcentral. Lineage: Bacteria; Bacillati; Actinomycetota; Actinomycetes; Allobogoriellales; Allobogoriellaceae.